Leucoraja erinaceus (little skate) is the source of this 410-nucleotide long non-coding RNA. RefSeq lists it as uncharacterized. The transcript has 3 exons. The record is from RefSeq and is a predicted model, not a curated record. NCBI's taxonomy places the organism in Eukaryota, Metazoa, Chordata, Chondrichthyes, Rajiformes, Rajidae.
UCACACACACACAGCAACCGGAGCCCAGCGGCCAUUGCUGGAGGCAGCUGACCAUCGAGACGGCCAGGUAUACCUGGCAGUAACACACCUGUCUGCUGAGCCUAAACCUGUCACAUAACCGGAUCACUGAGAUAGGGCUGAAGGCUCUGCUGGAAGCCUUGAAGAUCCAAGUGAGCAGUAACAAGCCCACUAUAGACGGGCGGACCACCAGCGGCCUACUGCGGCUCCUAGUGGCGAAGAACGAGUUCCCGCCCAUGUGCGAUUCGUACACCAGCCUGCAGGAGCUGAUCUUGGCCAGGGACCCCAUCACCAAACACCGCAUCAUCUGUAGCCCCAUGCCCUCCCACAGUGAGAGUCAGUGAGGGAGAGAGACAGGGAGUGGGGUUGAUACAGUCACCACCUGACCCUGA